RNAcentral lists this ribosomal RNA (253 nucleotides) under uncultured bacterium. RNAcentral's name for it is "partial 16S ribosomal RNA". It matches the Rfam family "Bacterial small subunit ribosomal RNA", at positions 524 to 776 of the family's 1533-position model. The record is from RNAcentral.
UACGGAGGGGAGUAGCGCUGUUCGGAAUUACUGGGCGUAAAGCGCACGUAGGCGGACUUUUAAGUCGGGGGUGAAAUCCCAGGGCUCAACCCUGGAACUGCCUUCGAUACUGGAGGUCUGGAGGUCGAGAGAGGCGAGUGGAAUGCCGAGUGUAGAGGUGAAAUUCGUAGAUAUUCGGCGGAACACCAGUGGCGAAGGCGGCUCGCUGGCUCGAUACUGACGCUGAGGUGCGAAAGCGUGGGGUGCAAACAGG